This 62-nucleotide transfer RNA is filed under the name Botrylloides leachii. RNAcentral describes it as "transfer RNA-Cys". The record is from RNAcentral. Lineage: Eukaryota; Metazoa; Chordata; Ascidiacea; Stolidobranchia; Styelidae.
AGCUUGGUAGGUUAAAUUAAACCGUGGUAUUGCAAAUACUGAGAUGAGUAAUUUUCCGCUCG